RNAcentral lists this non-coding RNA (35 nucleotides) under Phalacrocarpum oppositifolium subsp. hoffmannseggii. The record is from RNAcentral. Lineage: Eukaryota; Viridiplantae; Streptophyta; Magnoliopsida; Asterales; Asteraceae.
GGCGGAUGUACCCAAGUGGAUCAAGGCAGUGGAUU